GCCACAGGAGGGAGAAAAACAAACAGGAAAGAAUUAAAAGGGUUGGGAUAGGGCUGCAAAGCAACAGGCAUAAAUCACGCAGCUCUUCCCUCCCUGAGCUCCCUUGCAGCCAGCACAUGCACAACACCUCCCUUCUGGAUGAGGCUUUGGCAUGAGAGGCAGAUCCCAUGAAUGCUCCAUCGCGUUACCACAGCAGAGCAGCGCUUGGCAAGCUGAUGCAGGAUACUCCCUCAAGAAAACUUUGAAGGAACAGUGCUGCACGGCUGAACUAGGCAAUUACAAAUAUACCAGACACAGGGCUGAGACCCACCUCACUUCUGUUCUGCUGGAGUUCAUAGAAUCACCAAGGUUGGGAAAGGCCCACAGGAUCACCCAGUCCAACCAUCACCAACAGUUCUCAAGAGUUGCAGCACAGUGAAUCACUCCAACCUUCCCUCAAGGAGGGACAGCACAAUAGGAUCAGCCUCUUCUGCACUGCUCUGAAAUCACAAUUCAGAAAAUGGACAAAGUGGAUAAUAAAUUACUCUUCUUAUGCCAGGUAUUUUCCAUUUUGUGUUUUAACCGUUGUUGGUUCUUGGCACUGUUAAACUGUUAAUGGUAAAUUCAAAAGGAAUUGAGGACCUGGCUUCCUGGAUCGUAGUUUUUGGCUUUCCUGCACAAUAGGAUGAAGCCUGAAAGUCCCUUUUGUUACAUGCAGGUACCCAACUCUACUUCGUUACCAAUUAUCCUUCCUCAGUCUCUCCAUCCCUGUAUUACAUAAGGGUUCAGGUGAGACUCCUAAGAUAUCUGACUGCUUUAGCAUGUUUGGUUUUAUGUCUUUGUUACUUUAUAUCUCUCUUUGGCAGUUACAUCUACCUACAUAAUUGCUCUCAUUAAAAGGCUUAGUCAUGGUCUGAAGUAAGUGUAACCCACUGUUAUCUGUGCACUUAAGCAAAUUUCAGCACAGAAAAUUGGGGUAUCAUCUAAAUAUCAGACUACAGGAAGAUAAAACAAUCUAUACUGAAAAUCCAGAAUAAAAAGAAAUAACAGGCUUUGAAGCAGGCCUACCACCGAUUUCAGCUAUCCCCAAAACUGUACCAGGAAGGUUUUAAAUGGGUUUAAACCUCAGAUUUUUCACCUUUGGAAUUCCAGCCCUGUGACUGGUACGUGUGAGCUGAAAGGAGCACAGUCUGCACAGCGCAGUGCUGCAGGAGUGGCAGUUCUCUGAAACUGGAACCAGUCUUGGAAUUACAGUGGUGCUUCUUUUUCCAGGGAAAGGAAGGGAGUGGAAAUGGAAAAACAUCAGUGAGAAAAACCAAACAGGGCCCAAAAUUCAGAGCUGAGGAAGUCUGCAAUGGAGAAUCUAGUUGAGACAGCUGUGCUGAGGCUGACCUAACCUGGGGCUGACCAAGCAAGUUCCAUGAUGUCAUAUUUUGCUAUGAUGGGCCAUUAAAUUAAGUCGCUGGUCCAGACCUUCCUCCUGACACCUAUUAAAUCUACAGCUUUGGAGCUGGAGUUGUCAAGGUAGCACUGCAUCAGAUACCAGGGGAAUCCACGCACACUGUUACAGAAGAUUGCUGCUUGCAUAAAACCUCUUUGCUCUUUUCUUGAUUGUAUAUUCAGGAUAUAUUUUGCAGGCAUAGUCUACGAUUAGAUUAAACAAGCAAAGGAAUUAUUUAUUGCCUGUCCCACUGCACCUACUGCUUAACACCAGAUGAAACUAAAACAAUGGCUUCUGAGCUUGGGUCAAUAGUCUUCCUCUAUAGUCUACCCUCAAUUUCAAAAGCAUAGAGAAAAAAUGGUUAAUUCUACGGUGCCUGCGUUACAAAAAGGAGGAUUCAUUCAUAUUUACAGCAGCCACAAGAACUUCCAAAUAUAUAUUUUUCCAACCUGAAGGGUUUCAGUGACUUGUUCUACAUUUCCAUAGUAGACAAUAGAUCUCACAUAGCACUGUGAUCCAAUCUGCUUUUCUUUGCAGCAGGUAAUUGUAGGACGUUUUUAGGGAUACCUGUAACCUCACAACAUUGCCCUGCCUACUUCAAAAGAAGCUGUCAUCAAAAAGUAUUACCAGUCAAAAGAGUCAGUGAUACAAUUAUCUUUUUAAACAAACCCAGAAUAGUGGAUCAAACGCACACUACUUUUGAUUAUCCUCAGUCAAGUUUUCUUUAGGGGAUUCUCUGAGCAUCUCCUUCCCCUCAUUCGAAUUAUCAAACUCUCAUUUCUAGACCUCAGAGAACACCUACACGCUCCCUUCUGCUUCCUUCUUCCCACAACCUGAAGUUAAAUGUGGAGCACUUCCUCUGCCACCACUCUUGAAGCCUCAGUGGCCCACCCAACAAUGCCACUCUGUGGCUGGACAGGUAGAGAGAUGUUCUUGCAAUACUCAUUCCUCUUGACAAAUAUCAAUUAUUGUGACCAGGUCUUUUAACAAAAUAAAUACUGACUAGCAGCUAAGAGACUGGCUACUGGCUGCUUCUCACCUCCACCAGGAGCCCUGAAGUGCAGGACAGAAUCCAGGAAAGAUUUUCUGGAAAAUGAAGAGACCCAAUAAAGCCUCUAAGCCCAGGCAAGUCAAUAAACUGUCACAGUUGCCCGGAAGGAAUUGGCUCGUCUUAGAUAAACUCACAAAGGCCCUGAAAAAACACAACUUUUUUUUUUUAAAUGGCAGAGAUUAAUUUUCUGACUUCAAAGUAGUAUUAAUGCAGAACUUGGCUAAGGUUUCCUGUGCAAGCAGUUUCCCCCCGAGCAAUGAUUUCAGAAUCCGCCUUGUUUUAAGGCUGGCAUUUGCUGCAGCUGCAGACCUGGAGUAUUUUCGAUCCCCUCUGAGUGCUGGAACACUAUCCAACAAUUAAACCACAACCCAAAAACAAUCAAACAUCUGUUUGGAGGAAGGCUGCUCAGUGACUGACAUUCUCAUGCCAGCAUAAACACGAAAGCUGCUGAGUGAUUCCUGUCUUUUGUGUAUAUAUGUAUACGUAUGCACCGCUUGUGUAUUUUUUGUUCCUGCAUGCAGAAUAUGUAAAUAUGCUUAAGAGCAUUUUUAUUGCAAUAUGUGGGUGUACUUGUAUAGCUUAUUUGUGGAAGUAUUUUCAUUGGCGUGAACACACAGAUUUGAAUGUCAGCUUGAGAUGUGGUUAUUUGUGUGCUGGAGGUGGUUUUGCAGGAGGCCAAAGCGAACGUGGAUUGGGAGUCUGCAAGCAGGUAUGUGUUUAUGCAGUGCUGCAUGUGUUGGUGUACGUUCAUUUACAGGUAUCAGCUUGAUUUCAUAUGGGCAAAAAUAGCAUUACGGCUGCAUGUAGUUUUGUGGAGAGGCAAGGAUUCUGAAGUGUUUGCAUGUGUGUGUGCACGUGGAACUGACUGCAGCAAGGUGUCUGUGCUUUCUGAUGGACAACUGUCCUAUGCCUGACCUCCACACUCUGCCUUUGAACUAAUCAGAUACUUGGGCUAUAGCAGCCGAUGUCCCUUAUUUUAAGCACCAAAAAGGGACAGACUGCUGGAAGCAGUUCAGAAUUGCGUUCAAAACAGCAGUGAGGUCUGGUCCUGAUGAAAUCCCAGCCUCCUAAAAGUACUGAUUUCAAGAACUCCCAUGGGAACACAACAGGGUAUUGAAGGAUGACUUGUUUCAAGGGCUUUGGAAACAGGAAUGAAUGCUGACAUUAGUUCUCUCUGUCUAGAGAGCAAAUUGCUCUCCUUCCUAAAAGCACUUUUCAGACUCCAUGCAGGUAACUCUUUUUGUCCUAUUUUAUUUAUAGAUUUCAAAUAAUGACGGCCUGGGUAAAGCAGUAUGCAAAUGACAUUCAUUCCCAACAGGAACUCCCUCUGUGUAAAACCAAGACCAGCUUUCAGAAAAUACAACUGUUCCCAAUCCAAGCCAAAUGACAGCUUGUGCUGCUCCCACCGGUUAUCCCCGAACCCCCAAGGUCCACAGACUGCUGCUUGCCAUUUGUGGUGUCUUUAUAUACCUAGAAAUAUGUGAGUCACCACAGCAGGUGCUAGCCAUAACCUGCUUGCCUGAAAACAUCAGUAUCAGAAGUGACAGAAUCUGGGCCACCCACUGGCUGUAUUUCUGGAGCAUCCCUCUGUCUAGGAGGGAGCAGCUGGAGAUCUUUGCUUUAGAGCAUUUAUCAAAUAUCCUGUUGCUGGAGUAUAAGAACACGCCAUCACAGGAAAGACAGACUUGAUGAUCUUCCCACUGUGAGCCCCACAGCUUAACUUAUUGUUGUAGGCUCCUAAUCUUUUGCACCAGCCCUAUUUUUCUUUUCAGCAGUUUAAGCUGAAAAAGUUUACUAGAUAAUAGAUUUGCCUCAGAAAUCACAGGAGGUUCUAUUCCUUAGCAGUUAAGCCAGAGUAAGGCAUGGAGUGCAGUAGAGGAGCACAGAGAAAUGGUAUUCUCCUGCCAUGCCCCCUGCCCAGGUACGCUUCCAUUUGAACUCUUGCAAACACCAGACUACAGCAUUGGUUAGGAUGCUUUAGCAGAUCUGGCGCUGAUGACACGAGACACAGGCAGGCUGAGCCCUUCCCCCUGCCCUCAUGCUGGCCAUUUCAGUGCUAUUCCAGGACGAGCUCCUGGAACUCAGCAAUGCAAAGAUGACAUAAGUGCAAUGUUCAGAGGUUAAAGCUUCCAUCCAUUUCUGAUACUCCUCACAAUACUCAUUUCUUACUUCAUCACAAAUUUUUGUCCUCUUUUUGCACACAGAAGCCAUACAUCCUGACUACAAGAAUCAGCACAAAGAAAACGUGAUGGAUGAUGCUCAUGUGUUUAUACUACACAGCUAUUCUGCUGCAUGGCUUCUCAGAAGCCAUGUCAGUAGCUUGCAUGGUCUGUGUGCUACUGAGUGACCAGAUAAUGACUCUUAACCCUACGUAACAUAUAUAGGAAAUACUUUUAAUAGUGGUUUAGUAAUGAUUGGGUUAGAAGGUGGUCCACUGGAAACGGCAGGCAGUGAGAAAUUUUUCUGAGAGGUUAAGAAGUCAUAGGAUCCACUUAACGCAUAUCAGUUACAUCCCUGACUUCCUAAAGCAUAGCCUAGGAAUAGCUAAGCUCCUCUUUUAACGCUGUAUGUGUGGCAGAACUGGUUCUACAAAAAGUGUAGGAUAAAGAAUGAACUACUGCUGAGUUUAUUCAGGGCCUAUUCAAUUUACACAUGUUGGCAUGCUGUCUUGUAUUUGUUGUUGUGGUUUAUGCAUUUUUCAUUAAAGGAGGAUCCUAGGUGCCAAAAUGUUAACCAUCACUGCUGCUAAUAUUAUUUAGAUUUGCCCUGGGUUCAUAUUAGAAAACAUGCAGAAAAUUUACAAGUACAGAAAGUCUUCUCAUUCAUGGAUUUCUUCCAGCUCUGCUCAUCCCUUUUGUGCUUUCCAAUCCUGUACUAAUUUAUAAGCACUGAUGGAAAUCAAAUCCUUCCUGGUUCCUGCUCCUUCAGUACCACUAACUAUGGCCCUGUUAAUCCGUCCUCCAAUGCUUGUAGCAUAUGAAUAUCUCGGAAUCACUGCUGCUUUGCAGGCUUCUAUGCUAAAUUAAAACACAGCAAAUACGACAUGCGGUCUCUCCGAUUCCAUACAAAGACCCUACAGUAACUCAGGAACAGCCACCACCUGACUCCAGUACUUCAGCUGCCAUGUCAUCAUUAACCUGAACCCGUUUUUAUCCACAGAUUCAAUUGAAACCAGCUACUCAUCAUGAUUUAUGAGAGUCUUUGGGACAGGAGCUGAUCACAUGUAAGCAAGUCUUCAUCUCUAAGAAGCACUCUGAGUUUCUAUUCUGACAAUCUUUGAAUUCUCUUCUUAGGAGUUGGAAAACAUCACUUAGUAGAACUGGGAGGAGGUGUUACAUUCUUAAGCCACAUGUUACACAAGAUAUGUCUGCAAGCAAACCGACAACAGAAGGACUGCUCUUUAUUGUACAAUGCCAUGUUCACUCCUGGCUUUUUCCAACACAGGACCCCUCUACAGGGCAUAACGCAAUGAUUAUGACAAAGGCACUUAAUCAACAUUAGCAGCUGCUCAAUUUCUAACUCUUGUUUUCCCACAAACUCCAUCUCCAGGAAAAUACAGAGUGCAACUCAAGGAAGCUCUCAGCUGUCCUCCACUUCGUGCAUUUCCAAAGCAGAUGUAAAACAACUUCUGGUCUCUCUUAUGUUCCUAUCUUGUUGAUCUGUGAUUUAUGACUGUAAGACCUUGGAACUUUGAACUGUUCAAUUCAAAUGCAUUCUUUUUUCGUUGUAGGAGUUUUAAGUAAUAUCUGAAGCUCUUAAUUUGUGGAUUAGCACAUUUACCUACACCACAAUUAGUCCAACUCUGAGAAAGCCCAAGACUAACUUUUGGUUCAUUACUCUGUCAAUCAAUAAGCAUCACAUGUGCUACCAGCCAUUCACCUAUAGGAAUGCUCCAGUUUGUUUCUACAUUCCCAGUCACCACUGAUUCAUCUGUCCAAGUCAUAUAACUGUUUUCUUUCUUGGUCAGUAAACUAGAUCAAAGCCUUGAUAUUUUUUAAGAAAAAUCUUGUAUUAAAGAGCAUGUGAGACCCUGAGAAGGUGGAGGCAAACACAUUUGCCACACCAGCGCUCAUCUCAGCUGACAACAGCAGCUUCCUGUGCUCUGUCCUGGGGGGAUAAGGGGCUGUUAAAUCCUCACAUCUGCCACCCCAGUGCACAGCUGUGAGUGGCUCAGGGAGAACCAUCCCUGCUUGCCCAGCUGCCCCCUUCUACUCACUGUCACUCAGCAAGUAACUAUUUCACAGGCCUCACAGAAAACAAUGGGAGCUUUCAGGAAUGAAAUAAAAUCUUUACUCUGAUAGGAAGGCAGCUGUGAGACACAUGAAAGCUUCUGCUUGCUGUCUCUUACUUGUCUCACAAGGUUCAGAUCGAAGGAGUCACAGCAAACCAUCUACAGUGAAACCCUUCACAAAGGUCAGUGCUGGAAAGAGUCUGAACAUGUGGUACCCUGCAGAAAGAUGUGUGGAUAGACAGAUAAACAGCUCACUGACAAGGUAGAUGGAUGCAGAAUGAGGAGGAGCAUACAUGGAAACAGAAUAUAAAAGGAAAAAAGUGAUCAAGAAAGCAAAUUGAUUUUCACUGUUUGUUUUGACAUCCCCAAAGAGGACCCCGUGAUCCUGAGGAAAUCCUGAGGAAUCAUUGCUCUCACUGCUGAUAUUCAGCCACCUUUGGGGCAGAAGGCUGCAGCCUUUAACAGCACUCACUUAUCCUAUAAACCAGUUUAUCACAAACUCACCUCAUAUUAAGGUGCUUUAUAACCCUGGGGGAAAAGUAUCACCUGUUAAAGAGCAAUUACCUCUGCAUUUCCCUUUAGGGCUAUUUUCUCAUCUAAGAACUGAUGAGGUCCAACGCUACUUCAGCUUGCUAAUUAUUCUAACUUCAGGACGUUAGUGCUGCUGAUUAGGAAGUGCGCUGCACCCAGAACAUAGAUGAAUUUAUUUCCUACGGGUAUGCAAUGCUGCACACUUGCAGUGUACUCAUACAGCACUGAGAAGUUAGGAAAAUUAACCCAUGUGGUAAUGUGCCCAGAUGCCUUCCAAUAGCUAGGAGGUCAUAUUUAAACGUUUAUUCCACCCGAUGACAAAUCUGAAUUCACAUCCUUAUACUGUCCUUCUGUCUCCUACCACCUCACUUCCCAGCUCCUGUACUCUCCCUGAGGCACUUCUCUAUCUUUUCCCCUCCUUCCUCUCUUGCUCACACUGGACUAUAAAUAAGUCUGCUUAACACAAACAUGCUUGCUCUGAGUAGUUACUUAUAUGAAAAAUAAUACAUGUUUGUAAGCUUCUUUGUCUUUCCCUUCUUCUACAUUUCAGUUUUGAUUUUCUCUUAUGUUUUGAACAGAUUCCUAUUUUCUACGCUUGAAUAACACUCCUGAAAAUGCUUCUUGUUGGUGUAAAUUUGACCUGUGCUGGUACAGCACGAAUCCUUGCAUUUCCCCUGGUGUUACAUUGCAGGUAGGGAAUAAGGUUUUACUGCUGAUAAUACAGAGGAGUUCUUUAUCUUACAAGGUAAGGAUUCAGGCUUUCAGCUCGGAAGCUCAAGAGCUCAAUGCCAUUGAUGACCCAGGGGAGGAGCUGUGAUACAGGAUCCCAUCACUGAUUUCCACGCUGCCAUCUCAUCAUCAAGUAGUCGAAACCCUUAACCCAUGUGAGCACUUCACCAUGCUAGAGAACUCAGCUCCUCACAGAACAGAAAACAAUGACCACUUGUUAAGCAUUUGUUUGAAAGAGGAAGAAAAAGAGUAUUACAAUGAGUGAUUUCAAUCUCUGUGCUGUCAGCUGAAGGUUCCAUGCUGCCAGAAACAAACAAAUGUAUUCCCUGUUUACAAAUGAUACCAAACAUUUUUAACCUCAAAGACUUUUGUAUCUUAUGUUGGGGAUUUUUUGGCGAGUGAAAAGAAAUAACUUUAGUAUUUAAAAAGUAGCGGUAUUUGAGAAUUUCAUUUGAUUACGUUUGUUUGAUAAUACACAACUGCUCUAAAACUGACAACUUCGCUAUGAUAAAAACAAAACAGCUUGGAGGAAAUAAAACGCCAAUAAUAUUUGCAAACUACAUAAAAGCACUUAGUGGGAAAAAUGCUAUUUCACUAACAGUAAGGAAUGACAGGUUAGUUAAAAAUAGAUAAAAGCUCAUAAAACAAAAGGGAACAAAAGUCAUAUAUAUCUAUUAAUUACUAGGUAGCUAGCCUGACUGUGCUGCUGCUAGCAAAAGUGCAGCUGCAUCAUUACUGGAAAAAUGGGACAGGCUAUGUACACAAAUAGGGCUGGAGUUCAAGCAUGCCUGCCCAAAUCCUCUCUGCUACUCCAUUUAGUGCAUUCUUUCUUAUCAUUCAAAGGGCUGCAUUGAAAUGUGCUGAGCUUCACUGUGCUCUGGAUCAGGGUUAAUGCACGUCUGAAUCCUCUGAGCUGGAGAGCUACUACUUAAAGCCAGUUUUGAGCAUUAGCAGAUUAUUUAAAAAUACCUUUGGAUGAAGAUGUAACAGCUCAGAUGGUGUGCAAUAAAAAACAAUGUACAUCUAGAAAGCUGCUGAGAGCUCAAUGGUUGAACUCAUAGAACGUUUCCUUCACUUGGACUCCAUCAGCAAGCAAGCUCCUACCAGUUCAUCUCUUGCCUUCAUUUACAAAUGCAGAGGAUUUAGCUCUCAGUCUCACUUUGGAGUCUCCAUUAGGACAUCUCCCCAAGUUAUGCUUAAAUCUGGUUCUCAUUUGUUCUUCUCCUGAAAUUAUUCAGGCUACUGUCACUACAUGAUUUGUCUUCAUGACUUCCAAAGGAUGAGUGCUGAGAUGGGAUUUGGACAGAAGGAUAAUACUGAGAGGUGAAACCAGGAAGACCUACACAUUUCUCAAAGGGCCACAAUCAGAAUUCCUUAUUUCCAGAAACUGGCUUUACAUUAUUUCUUAACAGGAGAUAAAGCAAAUUCUCUUAGAAGACCAAAACUCUUCUUUUCCCCCCUGCAAAACUGCAAUCUUCCAAAAAUGCAACAACUCUUGAAAUUCUUCAGCCCAAUUCACAGAGAAAACUCAGCCUGCCCAAGACCACAACUUUUUGCCUUGCUUGCACUUUGCUCCUCUGGGCUUGAUUGCUAUGCUAAUUAAACAAGACAUUGGUCAGGUUUUAACAUAGAUAUUCUUUUUUUAUUUUGGUUUCAGCUUCUUGAAAGGUGUCCAAGAAUACCAGGCAAGGAAAUGAAAUCUGCAUCCCAAGGAAACAAUCCCUUUCCAAAAUUGUUAAUCUUUCCUUAUGACAUGUUUUGGAAUACGAAUGUAUCCAGAGGGGGUUUAUUCAGCAAUAUGCUGUGCUCAUCCCCACCCAGUGACACUUGGAACACAAGCAGAAACACGUAUGUAUUACAAGGAGCGAUGUUCUACAUUGUUAUUAGAGAACCGGGCUUCCUUCAGCAUGCAACAUUAUCAUAACAAACCCAUGACUACACACUUUAACUGUCACUACAUUGCCUUCCAUAUAUGCUGGGAUCAGCAGAAUUAGAAGCCAGGUCUGGUUGCUACAUAUCACUUCUGAUAAAUUUCUGCAUUACAGCAACUGAAGGCGACUACAGAGCUUUGGCUGUGCCAGAUUCAAUCCAUUCAUAGGUCUGUUCCCCCAGCACGUUUCGUGAAGCUAUUUAGGGGUCAUAUGGAAAUGAAUGCAUGAAGAAGUGAAGAAAAAAGACAUAAUAUUAAACUCUGUAAGUGACUUUUAAGUGAAGACUUUUGCAAAAAGAAAAGACGUAGCAGGUAAGAAAUACAGAGGGGUAUUCUAUGCAUCAUACGGUAUGCAAUGAGCAAUGCUGAAUUUACCAAAAGCUACCAGCAGUUUUGGUUAUUCAGGUGAAGACAACUUAUGCCAAAAAUCUCAGGCAUCUUAAUGUCUCUUGAGACAAAGAUAAAAAAGCAUUCAUAAUCAGAAGUCAGCUCUUAAAACAUACAAUUGGUUCUUAUUUUGAGAAAAGUAGUAACAAGACUUUUUUUAUUUCUUUUUAAUCAAAACAUUGCUCAGAAGCCACAAGUCUCAGAUCAAGAACCAAAUGCGGAAUGCUAAGCGCUCACUAAGAGCUGGCUUGGGCAGCAUGAGUACUACACUAAUUUCUCUUUCAUUCCCUCAGCCCAAAAGCAAAACACAUUUUGCAGCAGCAUCUCAGCUGUUUGCUGAUGACUGAAUCCCAGGCAGGUCAAGAGAAACUUCUUGAACUUCCAAUUUCCAAGAAAGCCAACGAUCCAAGUGAAGUAAGAAGAAAGAAGACAUGCCGUGAAAGACAAAAAGCCUUCUUCAAACACAGCCCUUAAAUAACAGGAUGUGCAUGAAAUCCAAACUUCCUAAUGAAAUAAUUCCAAACCCUUUUGCAAGAAAGAACAGUAUUUUGAUGAAUGGUAUUUGUGACCUUAACGAUAAGCAUUAAUCUGUGCCACUUCAAAACCUCAGAAAAAAGUAGCUGGUAAGUGAGCACCUUGCUAACGAAAACCAGAGGAUGCAUCAUCCUAAUAAUCCAUGAGGAUAACCUGAGGGUAUUUUUUAACAUGACAGAGGCUGUCUCCUUGAGAAGAAAAGGUUAAAGACAACAGAGAGGCGACAGUGACAUCCCAACUACACACCUUAGUGAUAGCACAGCAUGCGCUUCCAUCAAACUACAUGUGGGUUUCUAAAAUACUCUUUCACAAAUCAAGUAAUUUAAGUCCAAAUGAAGUUAAAAACAAACUAAAAAUUUGCAAAUGCUCUGCGUUCACAAAAACAUACCUUGGAGGUUUCACAAAACAGAAUAUUCCCCAAACGGCGCAAUUAUUCUAAUGAAUAUGCCUAUAGAAUAAGUGGCUGCUCAGUAGGAGCAACUAGUGAAGCAUAUUAUGGUGAAAAAGGUAUUUUGCAGGUAUGGCUGUAACUUCAUGAUACCAGCUAGAAAAGAUUCUGCAGGUCUACAGAAGGGCUGUAACGGUGCUCUGCCAAGUUGCUGUCCAGGCAAAUUACACACGCACCGUGUGCUGGUUGCUGGAGAUGGUCUGCUCCGCAGGAGACAGGAUGCAUUGGCAGGCAGAAGCUGAGCAAAUUCCCGUUUGCACAAACCCACAUACAAUGGGAGAGAGAUUAACUGACAGCAACAGGGCUUUUCACAAGCAGACUUCCACCUAUAAAUUAGUACUACUGCAAAAUGAUAAGUGACAGAUGACAGGUUUUUAAAUGAAAUCCAAUGGAAGAAUCUACCUGUCUUGCCCAGAUUCCUACACAUGAAAUACCCUCCUUAGCUGAAUGUGUACCUUGGUACAAUCUCUGACUGGUGUUUUGCAGGAAGUCAGGAUACUUGGGAUCAUCUGAUCUAUAGCUACAUGAGUUUCACUGCCACAUGUACUACAGCAAAAGGCAAAGCAGCGAUCAACAUACAGUGGGCAGACAACGUGGGUAGCGUCAGCUAUGGGUGCUGUGACAGAGUACAGCAAAGUAGGAACCACCCCUUGCAGUGAAGGAAUUCUGAAUAUCAGUCUGAAGUUACAAACAGAUUUUGCUGACUAAGAUAUGAAACAAGCCCAUUUUAAGUAGUUCCAGACCGAUCUGCGUAAAGCAUGCAGUCUGUCUAAUAACAUCUGAUGGGCUGCAAAAGCAGCCAAUGGCUGCAAAGGCCCAGAGUUCCACUGCUGGAUGGAAUCUUUGCAAAUGAGGAGAGCAGUGCUUAUGGUAGAGAAUUCACUAGGAGUCCAAGGGCAGCUUGUAUUGCUAGCAGCAAGGAAUAGUAAAACGGGAGUUCUGUUUGUUUGCUAGAAAGAUCUUGUAGCAAAAAAUACAUUGAAAAUUGAGAAAUAGCUUGCAGUGAUGAACUGGUAAAUGCAACCUUUUUACAGGGGAAUGCCAAAGCAGAUUUUAAACAUUUGGCAGUUUCUCAGAAGCUAGGGGAAGAUUAACUAUGUGAGGGAAAAAUCAGGCCAAGAAACUGAGAACAGCUUUUCAAAAUUAAGGAAAGCCAAGGAGGAACCAAGUCUAAAAAGCAUUUGGAAAGAAAUGUUAAGAUCAUUUCACUUAUAAGAGAUUGAUCUCAGAAUCAGAAGAGUUCUGAACUUGUGGAAGUGGGAAGGAGUCAAAGUUCAGAGGGGGAGCAGCAGAGCCCCAACCUCACAAAGACUACCAAGCAAGGACACACAGCAACCACAGCAAGCAGCAGUGCUCCCAGGGGUGCCAUGGCUAAUGUUGUCUGCAGAGAUGGCUCAUAGGAACGUCACCAAAAUGAACACCCGGCUGACAUCCCCAGCCUCCUCAAGUUUGGUAAAGCUGUGCUCCAGUUUCCAGUGCUUGAAACAGCCUCUGAACACCAGCUCUGCAGGCCUGGACGCAGCACACUGCAUCUCUGCUGCUGCAUUCGUGUUUAUGAAAGCUACAGAAUAUUCCUUUUUAUGCACUCAAAUAACUUUUAAUAUCAAUAGCACCCUGCUGCUAAGAAAUACAACUUAACGGCUGGGUAUUAUUUGUUUUGGAGUAGAAUAUUAUGUUGGGCAGUUUCCCACUGGAAUAUACCUCAGUGUUUUCAAUGUGGCUGUGCAUACCUUGCUUUUUGUAGGCUGUUACAACUGUAAAUGUAUUUUAAAAGCACAUGUACACAUACGUGAAGGAGGAAAUGAGACCAAUAGCUUUUCAAGGUACUAGCAAUAGGAUUAGUUAGAACCAUGCGCUGACUUCAAAAAAUCUCACAUAAGAAAAUCCCACAUAAAACCAGUCUGUAUCUCAAAACUUCACUGCUACCCCAAGGGGGAAGAAAAGGCACUGCAGGACGAAGUGAGAGGCAGCAGCUGUCCUCAAAGGCAAAGGACCUCAGGGGACCCAAACUAUAACGCAAACAUCACCUCUUGCAACAGAGCAGAAGGGAAAAAACUCUCCUUACACUUCAUUUGUAUCACUGUGUAUGCAUUUUUGAUUGAUUCUUAUCAAGACUAUUAUAUUCUACUUCUAGAAUAUGGCAAGUAACAGUGCAGGUAUCUGACUCAAACUACAGAACCUGACAAACAGCACAGCUGCGCCGAAAAUUACUAAGGUGAAAAGGUGGGUGAGAAAAGAGAAAAACUUAAAUAUGGUUUUAGGAGAGAAAAGCUGUUGCUGAAGUCUUUCCUACUUGAGAUGACUCCAAUAAAGCUAUUCCUUCCUUAUCAGUGAAACACAGUCAUCUACCUUGCAGAUCCUUCUCUCAUUCUUACACGCCAAGCACAAAGAUGGAAAAAUUGCAACAAAAUUCUAACUAAGGCAGCAAAAACUCUGUAUGGAAAGAACACAGAACAGAGGAUAAAUAAAGGUUGCUGGUAAAACCUGGAACUUGCUGUGUUCAGCUAAUCCUUCUAAGGAGUUUUUUCUGUGGAGUUAGAGCAGUGAUUGCACCAAUUACAGGCACACUUCUUCAUGAAAUAAAAAAGAGGGAGAAGGGAAGCGAAGCCAAAGCCUCUGAUUUUCUUCUGGCUGAUCUCAAACUGUAGGAAUUCCCCAAUCAAAAGAAUGCUCUGCUCUACCUAAGGAAAUUAUGUUGAUUAGAAUAAAAGCUCCAGAUGUUAACCCAAAACAGUUUGAAGGGGAGGGGAGAAGGCACGCGAGGUGACCCCACCCAGGGCAGGAAGCACAGUGAGAGCCUCAUACCCAACGCCUUGGGACACAGCCAGGGCUCAGCAGCUCUCACGGCUGUCCUCCUUCUCCCCCAGGCAGAUAUAGGAGCUUUUCCAGUUUAACCCCAACACUUCUUUGCAUCCUUUGACAUGCAUUCUUCAGAAAACAUAUAUAAAUCAGAAUAAAAGUUACAUUGAGAACAGUUUUGUUUGGUUUUGAUUUUUAAAUCCAGAAGCAGCAGAACAACUUAUUUCUCCUUGCUAUUUCCAUGCACUUCGUUCCUCACGUCCCCUUUAGGCUGGGUCUCGGUCAUGGACACCGAGCUAUCUCAGAGAGCACAAAGAGGGUUAAAAGGAAAAGCUCUUGCAGAGCAGACACUGCACUUACAGUGAAGACAAAUGUUUUCAUUUUUUGGUAUAGUUGAAGUAGUUUAACUAUUUGUGAGCUUUGAAAAACAGCCAAAGUAAACCAGAUGCUUGUUGCUCAGGGGUCAGUUACCAGCAGCCAAUUAGGGAAAGCUCUUCUAUUAGUCAAAUUUGUACUUUCCUACCAAUCAGAAUAAUGCUUCUUACAUUAAAUGUUUAGGAAAAUAAAAAGGAAAAAGAGUUAAAGCACUGUCACUCCUUCCUGUCUCAAGGAGGAUUAGUCGUCAUCUGAGUAAGGCUGCAAGAUCAGUGCCUAGAAAGUGAUUUUUCUCAAUCAAGCUUUUUUUUUCCCCCCCUGAAGAAUGACUCAGCUAGAAAUAUGGGAACACCACUGCCUGGCUCCAUAAUCCUGCAAACUUGAGCACGGCUAAACUAUGAUAAUACCUGAUAUGAAUAACAGAACAUGGCCAGUCCUGACAACAUCCAGAGUGAGAAACACAUGCCCUAAACCCAGCCUUCCUCCUGGAGAACACAUCCUACAUCACAGUAUGCUGCUUACAUUACACAAAAUGCAGUUGCUGCUGAGCAACAGCGUAGGUCUGGAUUUAUCAAAGAAUUUUCUCCCUCCCUUUCUGACUGCGUAUGUGCAGUUUCAUAGACAAAGUGCUGGUCAUGGUCUCACAUCACUGACUGCACCACAGAGAUCAGGCUCCUGCACAUCACCAGUUAAUCACAUUCUUGAGGGCUUCUUUGGAAAACAAAGCAGCUCCAGUCUGCGUCCAUUGCUUCUCAAAAGCAUAAGCUAUGCCUUCUUCCUAUCUGAAAAAUUCUGACAGAUGAGCCCUAUAUUCACAUAAGUGAUGCACAUAGCAUUAGCAUACCCUAUGGAGAAGGCAUUUCUGCCCUACUCACAGAAUAUGUGAAAAUUAACAUAUGGCUGCAGACUGAAACAAGAGAAUUCAUAGGCCCGUCUCCUCCCAAGCCCAGCUCCUCCAUGCCUUACAGAAAUCUGCUGCAUUGGAGUCUUUUCACACAGUCUGCU
This 15440-nucleotide long non-coding RNA is filed under the name Gallus gallus (chicken). RNAcentral describes it as "lncRNA (ENSGALG00010022043.1)". The record is from RNAcentral. Lineage: Eukaryota; Metazoa; Chordata; Aves; Galliformes; Phasianidae.